ACGAACGCUGGCGGCGUGCUUCACCCAUGCAAGUCGAACGGAAAGGCCCUGCUUUUGUGGGGUGCUCGAGUGGCGAACGGGUGAGUAACACGUGAGUAACCUGCCCUUGACUUUGGGAUAACUUCAGGAAACUGGGGCUAAUACCGGAUAGGAGCUCCUGCUGCAUGGUGGGGGUUGGAAAGUUUCGGCGGUUGGGGAUGGACUCGCGGCUUAUCAGCUUGUUGGUGGGGUAGUGGCUUACCAAGGCUUUGACGGGUAGCCGGCCUGAGAGGGUGACCGGCCACAUUGGGACUGAGAUACGGCCCAGACUCCUACGGGAGGCAGCAGUGGGGAAUAUUGCACAAUGGGCGGAAGCCUGAUGCAGCAACGCCGCGUGCGGGAUGACGGCCUUCGGGUUGUAAACCGCUUUCGCCUGUGACGAAGCGUGAGUGACGGUAAUGGGUAAAGAAGCACCGGCUAACUACGUG
RNAcentral lists this ribosomal RNA (467 nucleotides) under uncultured bacterium. Its description in RNAcentral is "partial 16S ribosomal RNA". It matches the Rfam family "Bacterial small subunit ribosomal RNA", at positions 29 to 507 of the family's 1533-position model. The record is from RNAcentral.